UUCCACCCUUCCAUCCGUGUGUAUUUGCAACACCGUUUCCUCGGCGGGCGCGCCCGCCGACGGACCCUUGCUAAACGCUUUUUACAACCGUACUUCUGAGCAGCAAUGCAACGAAAUCAAAACUUUCAACAACGGAUCUCUUGGUUCUGGCAUCGAUGAAGAACGCAGCGAAAUGCGAUAAGUAGUGUGAAUUGCAGAAUUCAGUGAAUCAUCGAAUCUUUGAACGCACAUUGCGCCCUUUGGCAUUCCGAAGGGCAUACCUGUUCGAGCGUCAUUGCAACCCCUCAAGCCCCGCUUGGUCUUGGGCCUCUUGUCUGCCCCGGCAGACUGGCCCCAAAAGCAUCGGCGGCGAGUUGGCCCGGCCCCGGAGCACAGUACAUUGCUGCUUGCGGGGGCGGCCGCCCGCGCUGGACAACCUGCAUCUUUCUGACGUUGACCUCGGAUCAGGUAGGGAUACCCGCUGAACUUAAGCAUAUCAAUAAGCGGAGGAAAAGAAACCAACAGGGAUUGCCCUAGUAACGGCGAGUGAAGCGGCAACAGCUCAAAUUUGAAAUCUGGCCCCCGCACGGGGGUCCGAGUUGUAAUUUGUAGAGGGUGCUUCGGCGCGCUGCCUGGGCCUAAGUUCUUUGGAACAAGGCAUCACAGAGGGUGAGAGUCCCGUAUGUGGUCCGAGGCGUGUGCCGUGUGAAGCCCCUUCGACGAGUCGAGUUGUUUGGGAAUGCAGCUCUAAUUGGGAGGUAAAUUUCUUCUAAAGCUAAAUACUGGCCAGAGACCGAUAGCGCACAAGUAGAGUGAUCGAAAGAUGAAAAGCACUUUGGAAAGAGAGUCAAAAAGCACGUGAAAUUGUUGAAAGGGAAGCGCUUGCAGCCAGACUUGCUUGCAGUUGCUCAUCCCGCCCCCGGGCGGGUGCACUCUUCUGCAGGCAGGCCAGCAUCAGUUUGGGCGGCCAGAUAAAGGCCUGGGGAAUGUA
Molecule: ribosomal RNA, 970 nt
Filed under: Dothideomycetes sp.
Lineage: Eukaryota; Fungi; Ascomycota; Dothideomycetes
Description: eukaryotic LSU rRNA
Rfam family: Eukaryotic large subunit ribosomal RNA (bases 434-970)
Source: RNAcentral